Molecule: ribosomal RNA, 497 nt
Filed under: uncultured bacterium
Lineage: Bacteria
Description: partial 16S ribosomal RNA
Rfam family: Bacterial small subunit ribosomal RNA
Source: RNAcentral
GAUGAACGCUGGCGGCGUGCCUAAUACAUGCAAGUCGAGCGAACAGAUGAGGAGCUUGCUCCUCUGACGUUAGCCGCGGACGGGUGAGUAACACGUGGAUAACCUACCUAUAAGACUGGGAUAACUUCGGGAAACCGGAGCUAAUACCGGAUAAUAUAUUGAACCGCAUGGUUCAAUAGUGAAAGACGGUUUUGCUGUCACUUAUAGAUGGAUCCGCGCCGCAUUAGCUAGUUGGUAAGGUAACGGCUUACCAAGGCAACGAUGCGUAGCCGACCUGAGAGGGUGAUCGGCCACACUGGAACUGAGACACGGUCCAGACUCCUACGGGAGGCAGCAGUAGGGAAUCUUCCGCAAUGGGCGAAAGCUUGACGGAGCAACGCCGCGUGAGUGAUGAAGGUCUUCGGAUCGUAAAACUCUGUUAUUAGGGAAGAACAAAUGUGUAAGUAACUAUGCACGUCUUGACGGUACCUAAUCAGAAAGCCACGGCUAACUACGUG